UGUUUCAAUUACAGUCGUUUUCCAAGUUCGUCCCAUUUCCCAUUGUUGGGUUGGUGCAUUAUUAGGAAUUUAAGAGCUAGGGCUCUGAUUUGUUUGUGCUAUUUGUUUUACCAGUAAUGGCGAUCUAGGCUUCUCAGUUUCUUGGUGGCACUGAAUGAAAUGGAUAACGUAACCAGAAGGAAGAGGUGAACCCCACCUCUUAUUUUGGCUCUCUUCCUCAUUGUUUUCUUCCAAAGAUCUACAGUUGACGUUUUGGCUUUGAACUACACAAAUUUUAGACAUGUAUCAAGUUUGAGACUCGCAAGAAUUCAGAGACACUUGGACAAAUCAACAAGCCCGCCAUUAAAACCAUAGAGAACCUAGGUAGAGAUAUAAUUGACUGUGUUCAGACAUAAACAACCAGCUUUAGACCAUCCUCUUCUGAAGAAUCACAAGACCCAGAGAGCACCACUAGAAAUGCCAAGAAUGAGAAUGAACAAGGAAGGAGAAGGGAUGAGAAAUAAGAUUAGUGGUAGUUAAGGAACAGGAGGUGCAUGGCAAACAUGGCAUCUAGGUGGGAAGAGAUGUCCCAAGGGAACGGUUCCCAUAAAGCGAAGCUCAGUGAAUGAUGUGUUGAGAGCCAAGUCUCUGUAUCACUUUGGGAAGAAACGAUGCAUCCUCUUCCCACCCAUCAGGACUUGCUUCAACCAUCAGGACACCCAGACCCAGUCAUGGCCCACCACCAAUCCAUCCAUAUCAGGGCCUCUCAGUUCACUCCCAGAGAACACCAGAUGGUCGCACAGGUCUUUGCCGGAAUGGGACGGCCGAAGACUGUUCUCUGGGCAUGUCUUUUGUCAUGCUGGCAAUCCCAGAACCAAAAAUGCUGACUGAACUGCACACCAUAGUUGGUCUCAGUUGGUUUACUUUCGACUUUUGCUCCACUCUGACAGCGCCUGAGAAACCGAGCUUGGACCUUUACCGAAGAAAGCUCUCUCUUUCUCUGGCUGGUUAUCGUUGAAUGCCAGAUCCAUUGGACUUGGAGGAGUUCUCGAAACCAACACAUGAGAUGGUAAAGGUCUAUCUGAUGAGAGUGCUUGUCCCAACCAAAGAGCACUCUCGUACUGUCUAUCUUCUCCCAACUCCCAAGCAUCAGUCAAAAUGGCGGAAAAUGUCUUGCCCUUGCCACUACUGGCUAGCAAUGGUCGGUUUUGGGACUGUGUGAGAGUGCUUGAGGUUAGUUUUGAGGUUUAAUCGAGAAGCCAAUGAAAAAAAGGGUAAUUUGGACAUUUAAAAAACUUUAAACAGUCGAUGAAAAUUUUUUGGACCAACAGAAUGUUAACAGAAGGGGGUCUUUCUCUAAUGGCUAAAGUUUAAAGAGGUCUUUGUAGCAAAAAAAAGUACAGGGAACUUUGUCACUGACCAAGGGGGUCUUUAUAUUGUCAAAGUCUUGUAUCAUUGCAAAUUUAUUUGCAUUGCAACCAAACAGUCUUAGAUUCAAUUGCAUUGAUUGAGAGCCUUAUUUCCUUAGGCUCUGUUUGUUUGCGACCCAAGCGUCGGACCGGGGUAUUUAUGUACUCCGGUUUGCAUUUGUGAGCAUUUGUUUGAAAUGUAAAAAGUAUUGAUUAUUAGAGUAAAAAUGUAUUUUAUGACAGUUUUAUACUC
Molecule: non-coding RNA, 1641 nt
Organism: Nelumbo nucifera (sacred lotus)
Lineage: Eukaryota; Viridiplantae; Streptophyta; Magnoliopsida; Proteales; Nelumbonaceae
Source: RefSeq, a predicted model, not a curated record